CAGAUAUUCUUUUUCUUUUGGUAUAGUGAUAUAAAAAUUAAUAUAGUCAUUUUCAUCUCCUUAACCAUGGCUUGCAUGCUUCCACUAUUUCAACUGUGGUCUUCCUCUGGUGUUUCCACCAUAAACACUUUUUUUUCCAGUGUUCUUGUUAUUGUUAAGAAAGGGAGAAAUGGUUGAACUUGCCAUGCAUGUGGCCACUAUUGCAAUGUUAUUUUAAUCAUAGGGUCUAGUACAAGGUUGGCUGAAAGAAGAGGAGCAAUAGAUGAAGGUUUGGGAUAUGGGAAGAGAGGUUUUUCUUUCGGCAUGAGACUGCUACUUUUAUUGCAUGAUCGGGUUCACUGGGCAUGAGACUUUUUAUUGUAGAAAGGGGUCUAGAGUCUAGACCAUGGUUUUAAAAGACCAGAGAUGUGAAGCAGCUGACCAGGGGCUACUCAGCACCUAGGAAAGGAAGAGUAAAGAAAGGAAAAAACUUACCAUUAACUUAGCAACAGUGGAUAAUGCAAGUGUUGAGUUUCUCGCUUUGUAGAGAAUAAUGCUUCAUACUUAAGAUACAAAAGAUGGAGGGUGUCUAGUGAAGGACCAAUAUGUCAUAAGAGUCGAGGGUGUUAUUACACCAUCCCAUUCCAUCACUUUCUUAGCAAGACAAAUCUUGCCACGAUUGAACUAUUUUUACUAUAGGGUGCCAAGGCAAGGUCUUAACAUCGAUGGGACCAUUGUUCCAUUCAAGGCCACUGAAAUAUCAUUGAUAAGGCACCUUCCUACCUUAUUAGAUAAAGUAGAGUUCGAUAAGGAGAAGAAAAGUCUGAUUGCUGAGCUUGCUAUUUAAUGGACAACAGAUUCUUGGUAAUUGUAGUGUGUUACAAAACCACCUAAAUAACUAGUGGGGGAGAC
RNAcentral lists this long non-coding RNA (891 nucleotides) under Elaeis guineensis (African oil palm). Its description in RNAcentral is "long non-coding RNA (EGUI_LNC070763)". Lineage: Eukaryota; Viridiplantae; Streptophyta; Magnoliopsida; Arecales; Arecaceae. The record is from RNAcentral.